GACGAACGCUGGCGGCGUGCUUAACACAUGCAAGUCGAACGGUAAGGCCCUUCGGGUACGACGAGUGGCGAACAGGUGAGUAACACGUGGGUGAUCUGCCCUGCACUUCGGGAUAAGCCUGGGAAACUGGGUCUAAUACCGGAUAGGACUCCUGGCUUCAUGGUUGGGGGUGUAAAGCUUUUGCGGUGUGGGAUGGCCCGCGGCCUAUCAGCUUGUUGGUGGGGUAAUGGCCUACCAAGGCGACGACGGGGCAGCCGGCCUGAGAGGGUGACCGGCCACACUGGGACUGAGAUACGGCCCAGACUCCUACGGGAGGCAGCAGUGGGGAAUAUUGCACAAUGGGCGCAAGCCUGAUGCAGCGACGCCGCGUGA
RNAcentral lists this ribosomal RNA (372 nucleotides) under uncultured bacterium. RNAcentral's name for it is "bacterial SSU rRNA". It matches the Rfam family "Bacterial small subunit ribosomal RNA", at positions 28 to 404 of the family's 1533-position model. The record is from RNAcentral.